This 482-nucleotide long non-coding RNA is filed under the name Brassica napus (rape). RNAcentral describes it as "long non-coding RNA (BNAP_LNC026875)". Lineage: Eukaryota; Viridiplantae; Streptophyta; Magnoliopsida; Brassicales; Brassicaceae. The record is from RNAcentral.
UAUUGCAUUACAAAUAAUAUAUAACUUAUUAUCAUGUUUGCUCAAUUAUAUAUGAACUUGGUUUAAAAAAAAAUCUUUGUAAUUUGGGGUUUAGAAGUGUAUAAAACUUAUGAUGUUUGGGGUUUGGGGUUUCGGCUUUAGGGUAUAAACACAAAACGAAGCUAAUUAGUCGUAAAGUACGACUCAGUUACGACUAAUCUAAAAUGAGAAUAAACAUAUUCGAAGCUAAUUAGUCGUUAAUUUACAUCUAACGUAUGACUAAACUGGUAGAAUAGUCCCUUAUUGGUCCCGAAUGGAAUAAAGUAGUCGAAGCUAAUUGGUCGUCUUUUUGGUCCCUACUUAGUCGUAACAUACGACUCAGUUACGACUAAACUGCUUGAAUGGUCCCUAAUUGGUCGUAAUAUCUUUCGAAAUUUCCUAUAAAUACUCACCAGUUUGCUUCUCAAAUCAGAGAAUUUUUUUUAGAAAUAUUUGAAAAAAAA